UCCUCCAUUGGGGACUCCAAAUCAGAACGACAAAGAGAUUAUUAGCAUGGCCCCGGCGCAAGGAUGACAUAAAAAUUCGUGCACAGCAUUUUAUAUGG
Small nuclear RNA from Rattus norvegicus (Norway rat), 98 nucleotides. Lineage: Eukaryota; Metazoa; Chordata; Mammalia; Rodentia; Muridae. The record is from Ensembl.